Molecule: ribosomal RNA, 252 nt
Filed under: uncultured bacterium
Lineage: Bacteria
Description: partial 16S ribosomal RNA
Rfam family: Bacterial small subunit ribosomal RNA
Source: RNAcentral
UACGUAGGUGGCGAGCGUUAUCCGGAAUGAUUGGGCGUAAAGGGUGCGUAGGCGGCCUGCUAAGUCUGGAGUGAAAGGUACCGGCUCAACCGGUACAGGCUCUGGAAACUGCCGUGCUAGAGAGGAAGAGAAGUAGGCGGAAUGCGCAGUGUAGCGGUGAAAUGCUUAGAUAUUGCGCAGAACUCCGAUUGCGAAGGCAGCCUACCGGCUUCUGUCUGACGCUGAGGCACGAAAGCGUGGGUAUCGAACAGG